GACGAACGCUGGCGGCGUGCCUAAUACAUGCAAGUAGAACGCUGAAGGAGGAGCUUGCUUCUCUGGAUGAGUUGCGAACGGGUGAGUAACGCGUAGGUAACCUGCCUGGUAGCGGGGGAUAACUAUUGGAAACGAUAGCUAAUACCGCAUAAUAGUAGAUGUUGCAUGACAUUUGCUUAAAAGGUGCAAUUGCACCACUACCAGAUGGACCUGCGUUGUAUUAGCUAGUUGGUGGGGUAACGGCCCACCAAGGCGACGAUACAUAGCCGACCCGAGAGGGUGAUCGGCCACACUGGGACUGAGACACGGCCCAGACUCCUACGGGAGGCAGCAGUAGGGAAUCUUCGGCAAUGGACGGAAGUCUGACCGAGCAACGCCGCGUGAGUGAAGAAGGUUUUCGGAUCGUAAAGCUCUGUUGUAAGAGAAGAACGAGUGUGAGAGUGGAAAGUUCACGCUGUGACGGUAUCUUACCAGAAAGGGACGGCUAACUACGUGCCAGCAGCCGCGGUAAUACGUAGGUCCCGAGCGUUGUCCGGAUUUAUUGGGCGUAAAGCGAGCGCAGGCGGUUAGAUAAGUCUGAAGUUAAAGGCUGUGGCUUAACCAUAGUACGCUUUGGAAACUGUUUAACUUGAGUGCAAGAGGGGAGAGUGGAAUUCCAUGUGUAGCGGUGAAAUGCGUAGAUAUAUGGAGGAACACCGGUGGCGAAAGCGGCUCUCUGGCUUGUAACUGACGCUGAGGCUCGAAAGCGUGGGGAGCAAACAGG
Molecule: ribosomal RNA, 763 nt
Filed under: uncultured Streptococcus sp.
Lineage: Bacteria; Bacillati; Bacillota; Bacilli; Lactobacillales; Streptococcaceae
Description: bacterial SSU rRNA
Rfam family: Bacterial small subunit ribosomal RNA
Source: RNAcentral